RNAcentral lists this ribosomal RNA (278 nucleotides) under uncultured Eubacteriales bacterium. RNAcentral's name for it is "uncultured Clostridiales bacterium partial 16S ribosomal RNA". It matches the Rfam family "Bacterial small subunit ribosomal RNA", at positions 67 to 339 of the family's 1533-position model. The record is from RNAcentral. Lineage: Bacteria; Bacillati; Bacillota; Clostridia; Eubacteriales.
CGGAAGUUUUCGGAUGGAAGCGAUAUGUUUUAGCGGCGGACGGGUGAGUAACGCGUGAGCAACCUUUCCUUCACAGGGGAAUAACGUACCGAAAGGUACACUAAUACCGCAUAAGGCCACAGCACCGCAUGGUGCAGGGGUGAGAGGAGCAAUCCGGUGAAGGGUGGGCUCGCGUCCGAUUAGCUAGUUGGUGAGGUAACGGCUCACCAAGGCGACGAUCAGUAGCCGGCUUGAGAGAGUGAACGGCCACAUUGGGACUGAGACACGGCCCAAACUCC